Molecule: long non-coding RNA, 1400 nt
Organism: Alosa alosa (allis shad)
Lineage: Eukaryota; Metazoa; Chordata; Actinopteri; Clupeiformes; Clupeidae
Exons: 4
Source: RefSeq, a predicted model, not a curated record
UAUGACCCAACCAUGGAACACCCAGCAGUGUUCAGUCUGCCAACCUUCCCUCCUGAACUGCAAGAACCCCCUGCGUCUUAUAUGACCCAACCAUGGAACACCCAGCAGUGUUCAGUCUGCCAACCUUCCCUCCUGAACUGCAAGAACCCCCUGCGUCUUAUAUGACCCAACCAUGGAACACCCAGCAGUGUUCAGUCUGCCAACCUUCCCUCCUGAACUGCAAGAACCCCCUGCGUCUUAUAUGACCCAACCAUGGAACACCCAGCAGUGUUCAGUCUGCCAACCUUCCCUCCUGAACUGCAAGCUGCUCUCCAGAACCCCCUGCGUCUUAUAUGACCCAACCAUGGCCAGCAGUGUUCAGUCUGCCAACCUUCCCUCCUGAACUGCAAGCUGCUCUCCAGAGGAAAGAUCCUGCCUUUAAAAAGAAGGACAAAUCACAUAUACGGGCAUUAUUGAUUCAAGUGCUGUUUGAUAAUGUCAAACACACUUGGUAAGUUUAGUUCAAAAUAUAAAGCAGAUUUAUUUUUACUAAAAGUUAUUUUCCAUUUUCCCAGGGGUUUAUAAACUUCCAAGUUUUAGGGCCUGCUUACACAAAAUAAUUUUCACAGUUUUCUCUUGGUCAGUGGUGUAAUGGCGUUAUUUUUCACAGUUUUCUCUUGGUCAGUCGCGUGUUUUCCUAGGUUUCUCUUGGUCAGUGGCGUAUUGCGUUUUAGGUAGUGUACGAACGCGCCAGACCACUCCUUAGGUUGUUAAUUACCACACCCCUUGGCGCAUUAUUUAAAAAAGAGAGGUGCAAAAUACGAAAACAAACUUUGCGCUUGGAAAAUAAUGAGUUUUCCACCAUGCGCCAGGGUGGAAAAUAGGGAACGUAGUCUGAGACUAGUCUGUGAUUAUAGGAUGAGAUUAAAAAGUCCUAAAGUAGGCCCUUAGGAUGCAUUUCACUAACAAAUAAUUAUCUGUUUUAGGUAUCCCAGUCACAAAAUGUAUGGAGAUGUCCUGGGGAGUUUGAUUACAAAAUUUCCAUUCUUAAGAGAUGGCAGUUCAUCUACGUACAUGAGACAUUGUUAGAGUGCCUCCGUAACAAAUUCAAGAAGGAAAGGAUUCCACUUGUGCACAACUCCACAGUCCUCCAAAUGAAAAAAAAGUAUGGAACCAAAAAACGAAUGGUGGAGCAAACAUCCUAUGUGGACACUACCAUCGAACCUGAGCUGGCAAAAAGGAGAGCAGAAUUACUGGAUUAUUCAGCAUCACACAGUAACUCCAGUUCCUCGCUUGAGGUUUUAGAGCUGGAAGCAGUUGGAGAGGAUGACACCAGUUAUCAAGAGCACCUGAAUUUCAUCUUAAGGGAGUUGGCCAAGAAGCAACCAAAUUUGGCAGAAAUUAAAAUCAGGAUGAGGAGG